UAUCUCCUGGGGUGCCCGCCAGUUGGUGAUCGUCCCUGAGCCGUUAUAAACGCCAAAGGAAGGCCACCCCGGACUCCAUGUGCACGCCUGACACCGCUAGCGGUUGAUCGGGAAGCCUGCGAAUCGGGCGAGUCUUCCGCCUUGAACCUCGACGGUUCAGGGCCAAACUGACAGCGUCAUACUCGGGAGAUCC
Molecule: non-coding RNA, 193 nt
Filed under: Gammaproteobacteria bacterium
Lineage: Bacteria; Pseudomonadati; Pseudomonadota; Gammaproteobacteria
Description: 6S RNA
Rfam family: 6S / SsrS RNA
About the family: E. coli 6S RNA was the first non coding RNA to be sequenced, but its function was unknown until recently. It consists of 184 nucleotides that fold into an extended hairpin structure with a large single-stranded internal bulge.
Source: RNAcentral